GUUUGAUCCUGGCUCAGGAUGAAUGCUGGCGGCGUGGAUAAGGCAUGCAUGUCGAACGGGCCCGCAAGGGCUAGUGGCGAAUGGGUUAGUAACACGUAGGAACAUACCCCACUCACAGGGAUAAGCCACCGAAAGGUGGUCUAAUACCUGAUAGUCUCGAAAGAGUAAAGGUUCCCGCAAGGGUUCCGGAAUGGGAAUGGCCUGCGUCCUAUCAGCUUGUUGGUGAGGUAAUGGCUCACCAAGGCUAUGACGGGUAGGCGGCGUGAGAGCGUGACCGCCAACAGGGGAACUGCGACAUGGUCCCCACUCCUACGGGAGGCAGCAGUCGAGAAUCUUCCACAAUGGGCGAAAGCCUGAUGGAGCGACGCCGCGUGCAGGAUGAAGGCCUUCGGGUCGUAAACUGCUUUUGGCUGGGAACAAGGGAGUAAUCCCUGAGUGUACCAGCAGAAUAAGGGGCCGCUAAUCUCGUGCCAGCAGCGGCGGUAAUACGAGAGCCCCAAGCGUUAUCCGGAAUUAUUGGGCGUAAAGCGCGUGUAGGCGGGCUUGUUAGUCUUCUGUUNAAACUCGGAGCUCAACUCCGAAUCUGCGGGAGAUACGGCAAGCCUAGAGGAUGUGAGAGGCUAGUGGAACUCACGGUGUAGGGGUGAAACCCGUUGAUAUCGUGGGGAACACCAAAGGCGAAGGGCAGCUAGCUGGCGCAAUCCCUGACGGUGAGACGCGAAAGCGUGGGUAUCGAAUGGGAAUUAGAUACCCCAGUAGUCCACGCUGUAAAUGUUGGAGACUGGCUGUUUGAAGUGUCGACCCUUCAGGUGGCGAAGCUAACGCGUUAAGUCUCCCGCCUGGGAAGUACGGCCGCAAGGCUAAAACUCAAAGGAAUAGACGGGGGCCCGCACAAGCGGCGGAGCGUGUGGUUUAAUUCGAUGCAACGCGAAGAACCUUACCAGGGCUUGACAUAUUAGUGGUACGGAUCAGAAACGUGAUGGACCCUUCGGGGAGCUAAUACAGGUGCUGCAUGGCUGUCGUCAGCUCGUGCCGUGAGGUGUUGGGUUAAGUCCCGCAACGAGCGCAACCCUCGCUGUUAGUUAAAUAUCUCUAACGGGACCGCUGGGAUAAACCCAGAGGAAGGUGAGGAUGACGUCAAGUCAGCAUGGCCCUUACGCCCUGGGCUACACACACGCUACAAUGGCCGGUACAGUGGGCUGCCAAGGCGCGAGCCGGAGCUAAUCCCCCAAAGCCGGCCCCAGUUCAGAUUGCAGGCUGCAACUCGCCUGCAUGAAGGCGGAGUCGCUAGUAACCGCAGGUCAGCAAUACUGCGGUGAAUACGUUCCCGGGCCUUGUACACACCGCCCGUCACGUCAUGGAAGCCGGCAGCACUUGAAGCCGCUGAGCCAACGCGCAAGCGGGGCAGGCGUUUAGGGUGAGACUGGUAACUGGGACGAAGUCGUAACAAGGUAUCC
Molecule: ribosomal RNA, 1457 nt
Filed under: uncultured bacterium
Lineage: Bacteria
Description: bacterial SSU rRNA
Rfam family: Bacterial small subunit ribosomal RNA
Source: RNAcentral